Molecule: long non-coding RNA, 1306 nt
Organism: Octopus bimaculoides (California two-spot octopus)
Lineage: Eukaryota; Metazoa; Mollusca; Cephalopoda; Octopoda; Octopodidae
Source: RefSeq, a predicted model, not a curated record
GGAAAAAAUUCUUUAUAAAACGGCAGAGGUUUGUAAAUAAAAAUUAAAAUAGAUUCGAGAGGAUUUAAAACAAUUUCUAUAAAAUAGGGACAGAAAUACUUCGAAUUUAUUACAAACCAUUUGUAGGUUUUCGAUUUAGUAAUUAGUAAUUAUAUAAUAUAUAUACGCACGCAUGCAUAUACAUACAUGCACACAUGGAAAUGCAUACACGCACCUAAAUAUAUAUUUAUACGCACACACUGCGAACUUAUAAAUGUUGAAACCAAAGAGCUUCGUUGCUAAACAAUUUAGUGGAAACGAAGCAAAAUAAUGAGUUGGUGAAGCAUCUUAAUAAAUUUCUCUUUAGCCAUCUCCUCUUUUGCAUAUAUAUAUAUAUAAAAAUUUAAAUACCUUGUAUAAAAUUACUUGCAAAUAAUUUUGCAGGGAAUUUAGAUUUGUAUAUACAUAUAUUUGCAUAUGGAGUGAAAAGUAUGUUAAUCUUUUUAUUUAUAUAUAAGAAGAAAAAAAACUAUUUAAAACACUUUUUAUUUGUAUUUUGAAUGUUUAAUAAUAGUAAUAAAAAAAAAACUAGAUUAGUUUUAUCACAGUCAUUGUUAAAAUUACCUGAAAAUGAAAUCCAGGCAUAAAAUAGAAUUUAACUUUAAAAUGAAGUGAAAACCAGAUAAGAGUAAUUAUUUACUUGGCGCAUAUAAUAUAUAUAUAUUCACACCAUAUAAAUGUAAUUAACAUGUAUAUGUACACAUGUUUAUAUACAUUUAUGUAUUUAAUAAAGUCCUAUUAAUACACUUGACAAAUUUGGUAGUCUAAUUGGAGACACCGCCAUGACCACAGUGAUUGGGGAUUCGGGUCAUUGGUAAAGAAGUAAAUGGCCGAGACUUGGGAUAAAUUAUUUAAAAAAAUAUUUUCUAAAUAAAUUCAAGAAAAUCUAUCUUUGCUAAAUAAUUAAGAUGUAAAAAAAUAUAACUGAAACAAAGUUUCUUUAAUUUCUUUGCAAUAAAUAUUGACCGCUUGACAGUAGCAGCAUUGAUAAGUUGCCGCGCCACGGCCAUUGUGGUUUAUUAACUUUAAGAAGCGUGGAUUUUUCUAUAAGAAAACCCAUGAAAUAUUUACUGAUGGAAAGACAGAUGUAAGCCACUCUUGGUAUGUUCUAAAGAAGAUGAAAUUAGUUGGUACAAUCAUCAUCUGCAGCUACCAAAGGCUUUAAUUUCAAAGCAAGAAAAUGCAUCAGACAAAUAUAUAGAAUUACUGCUGUCAGCCUUGAAUAAGGAGGGAUAUAAAAAGAUGUAAGGCAGAAUUUAAACACUAU